Long non-coding RNA from Empidonax traillii (willow flycatcher), 288 nucleotides. RefSeq lists it as uncharacterized. NCBI's taxonomy places the organism in Eukaryota, Metazoa, Chordata, Aves, Passeriformes, Tyrannidae. The record is from RefSeq and is a predicted model, not a curated record. The transcript is spliced from 2 exons.
GUUUUUUUUUUCCCCCAAGCACGUUUGGGUAUUUUUCCAUGCCGUGAGGAAAGCGGGAGAUGGCGGCUCCGACCCCUGCGAAGGAGAAAAGCGGUGCAAAAGAACAAAAUUAGGCAUUAAACUACCCACCUUGGGUGAUAAAUCCCUGAGGUCAAUAAGCCACCUUGACAAACAGGAUAACCUCUGUGAGAAAUAUCUGUGUUUUUUUUUUAAUAAAACACCUCACUUACAGGCUCUACUGGACACUCCAGCAAAAUAAAGAUGUAACUUCAACUACUCAAAGCCAAA